CUCCCCCGCAUCGGGGAGUAGCCACCGCCCUCGGGCGGGGCCGCGUCAACACACUCGCAUUCGCGUGGCGCGGUCAGCCGGACGUCGGUCCGGCCCGGCCAGACCGUGGCGACACCG
Molecule: unclassified non-coding RNA, 117 nt
Filed under: uncultured Alphaproteobacteria bacterium
Lineage: Bacteria; Pseudomonadati; Pseudomonadota; Alphaproteobacteria
Description: yybP-ykoY
Source: RNAcentral